UACCGUGAAACUGCGAAUGGCUCAUUAAAUCAGUUAUCGUUUAUUUGAUAGUACCUUACUACUUGGAUAACCGUGGUAAUUCUAGAGCUAAUACAUGCUGAAAACCCCAACUUCGGGAGGGGUGUAUUUAUUAGAUAAAAAACCAACGCCCUUCGGGGCUUCUUGGUGAUUCAUGAUAACUUCACGGAUCGCAUGGCCUUGCGCCGGCGACGGUUCAUUCAAAUUUCUGCCCUAUCAACUUUCGAUGGUAAGGUAUUGGCUUACCAUGGUUUCAACGGGUAACGGGGAAUUAGGGUUCGAUUCCGGAGAGGGAGCCUGAGAAACGGCUACCACAUCCAAGGAAGGCAGCAGGCGCGCAAAUUACCCAAUCCCGACACGGGGAGGUAGUGACAAUAAAUACUGAUACAGGGCUCUUUUGGGUCUUGUAAUUGGAAUGAGUACAAUUUAAACCUCUUAACGAGGAACAAUUGGAGGGCAAGUCUGGUGCCAGCAGCCGCGGUAAUUCCAGCUCCAAUAGCGUAUAUUAAAGUUGUUGCAGUUAAAAAGCUCGUAGUUGAAACUUGGGCCUGGCUGGCAGGUCCGCCUCACCGCGUGUACUUGUCCGGCCGGGCCUUUCCUUCUGGAGAACCUCAUGCCCUUCACUGGGUGUGUUGGGGAACCAGGACUUUUACUUUGAAAAAAUUAGAGUGUUCAAAGCAGGCCUUUGCUCGAAUACGUUAGCAUGGAAUAAUAGAAUAGGACGUGCGGUCCUAUUUUGUUGGUUUCUAGGACCGCCGUAAUGAUUAAUAGGGACAGUCGGGGGCAUCAGUAUUCAAUUGUCAGAGGUGAAAUUCUUGGAUUUAUUGAAGACUAACUACUGCGAAAGCAUUUGCCAAGGAUGUUUUCAUUAAUCAGUGAACGAAAGUUAGGGGAUCGAAGACGAUCAGAUACCGUCGUAGUCUUAACCGUAAACUAUGCCGACUAGGGAUCGGGCGAUGUUCUUUUUCUGACUCGCUCGGCACCUUACGAGAAAUCAAAGUU
RNAcentral lists this ribosomal RNA (1020 nucleotides) under Epicoccum nigrum. RNAcentral describes it as "SSU rRNA". It matches the Rfam family "Eukaryotic small subunit ribosomal RNA", at positions 77 to 1105 of the family's 1831-position model. The record is from RNAcentral. Lineage: Eukaryota; Fungi; Ascomycota; Dothideomycetes; Pleosporales; Didymellaceae.